Pongo pygmaeus (Bornean orangutan) is the source of this 2190-nucleotide long non-coding RNA. RefSeq lists it as uncharacterized. Lineage: Eukaryota; Metazoa; Chordata; Mammalia; Primates; Hominidae. The record is from RefSeq and is a predicted model, not a curated record. The transcript is spliced from 3 exons.
ACACAUCUAGGGAGUUUGCUGUUGGCCUGCGAAGACCCUUUAUGGGACAUGGAUCAAAGGUGCUGUUCCUCGAGAUACUUACCUCCAGUGUAGGAUCCUGGUGUCAAAAGGAAUCGUUAGAUAUGGCUCCAUUGUACAUGGCAUGACUUGUAUAGCCAGACAGAGCAGGUAUAUAUGUGGAAACUUCUGGAUGCCCGCCCUUGUGAGUUCACCUCUAUGUCUACUCUACUGAGGCCUCUCCUUACAGGUAGAGUGACUUGUGAGAGGCCUGUUACAUCCUCAGGCCACACCUGGUAAGGGAAGCGCAGGUCUCAGUUUCCUGCCUUCCUGGGAAGUGGGGAAAGGCUGAGAGGCCCCGUGCUGGGGGACGAAGCUAAUUCAUUAGUUACGCCUCAACAAGGGCCGGGUGCCUGCAGUGCCAGCGUGAUUCAUCAUGAUGAUUGCCCCACUGCCAGCCUGCGUGGGCCUGGAACGCCAGCACAUUUUACCUUUACCCACUGAGAAGGGCCUGGUGGGAGGUGAAGGUACAGGAUCUGCCGAGAGCAGGAAAAAGACUCUGAGAAAGAAGAGGGCUGGUCCUCCAUGCUCUCGGCCCCAGGAAGCUCUGCCAGGCUGGUGCCGGGGUGGAGAGGCUCAUGUGGGCUCAUGUGGUGCUGCCCGUGCUGAUGGAGCCCAAGAGGGCAGCCUGGCGCUGGGUGCCAGCCUGAGCAUGUGGCGAGGCUGGGCUGCUGAGCCUCCUCCUCCACAGCCAAUGUUCCCUUGGUGAAACUGCUCGGGGGUUGGGGGAGGGACUCUCCUCAUCCCAUUAGCCUGGCUGGGUAUUCCCUACCUUUCUGGUCUCUGAGAGGCUUACCUCUUCCAAGAAGUCCUCCCGAAUGAGUAGAAGGGAGAGAGCUGGAUUGGAACUUAAGUGACAUCUGGGAGGAGCCUGAAGCCCCUCCGGGUGGGGCUGAGACUCCUAUACCCUAGGUCUGGUGUCUGGCUUCCACCUGGGUCCUCUACCUUGGCCUGGAUUCCUGCUUUCAUUCUGCCAGUCUCUCCCAGGAUGGGGGUGCAUGGCUGGUUCCUGGCUCAGAGCAACAUCUGCCUCUGUGUCCCCCCAUCAUCUGUCCGCCGCCUAACACCUCUUGCCACAUUAGAAUUGCUAUUGCUCUGUCCUUUCAUUCAUUUAUCCAACAAAUAUAUAUUAUCUGAAAAAAAGCAUGUGCUGAAUAAUUUCAUUUGUGUGAAAUUCAAGAACAGGGAAAACUGAUUCAUGAGGAUAGAGGUCAGGAUCAUAGUUGCCUCUGCAAGGUGGGGAUUGACCGCAAGAGGCUUGAGAGAACUCUUGGGUUGAUGGAAAUGGGACAGGGGUGUGUACAUUUGUGAAAAUGCAUCCAAGAAGACACGAUCUAUGCAUUUCACUGUAUGCAAUGUUUCCCUCCACUUUUUUUAACGUUAAAUUUUUUUCAGCAAGGCGCAGUGGCUCAUGCCUGUAAUUCCAGCACUUUGGGAGGCUGAGGCAGGUGGAUCACCUGAGAUCAGGAGUUCGAGACCAGCCUGACCAACAUGGUGAACCCCUGUCUCUACUAAAAUACAAAAAUUAGCUGGGCGUGGUGGUGGGCGCCUGUAAUCUCAGCUACUUGGGAGGCUGAGGCAAGAGAAUCGCUUGAACCCAGGAGGCGAGGCGGAGGUUGCAGUGAGCCAAGAUCGUGCCAUUGCACUCCAACCUAGGCAACAAGAGCAAAACUCUGUCUCAAAAUAAAUAAAUAAAUAAAUAAAUAAAUAAAAAUUUGCAUUGAAUGUCUACUGUAUGCUCUAGAGCCUGUGCCAGUAGGGAAGGAGAUGCCCAAACCUCCCUGGCCGGGCAGCUUAUAUUCCAGUGGGGAUGGUUCCCAUCCUCCCGUUGCAUUGGCAACUGCUCUCUGCCCUUGGGCUGUCUUCCAUCCCCCUUCCCCUGCAGUGGGGAUGGCAACGGGCGUGGGCCAAAGGGCAGCGUGCUGUCCUGAAGUCAGUCCAUUCAGCCAGUUACAUGGGUCACACCAGCCGGGUUCAAGAGAAGGCAGGAGGCAGGAGGCUUGGAGCCCGAAAAUUUGGCUCCCGGGCUGCAACCUCUAUGCACUGUGUGACCGUAAGCAGGGUGCCUAAUCCCCGCGAGGCCACUUCUCUCAUCUUUCAUGUGGGAUUAUAAUGCUGUCUUUGUAGCUUUGU